ACUCAAAUGAAUUGACGGGGACCCGCACAAGCAGUGGAGCAUGUGGUUUAAUUCGAUGCAACGCGAAGAACCUUACCCAGACUUGACAUACAGAGGGAUAGUUCAGAGAUGAGCUAGUCCGCAAGGACUUCUGUACAGGUGCUGCAUGGCUGUCGUCAGCUCGUGCCGUGAGGUGUUGGGUUAAGUCCCGCAACGAGCGCAACCCUUAUCGUCAGUUGCCAACAGGUAAUGCUGGGAACUCUGGCGAGACUGCCCGGGUUAACCGGGAGGAAGGUGAGGAUGAUGUCAAGUCCGCAUGGCCCUUACGUCUGGGGCUACACACGUGCUACAAUGGGAAGACACAGAGGGUAGCGAAACCGCGAGGUGGAGCCAAUCUCCAAAACUUCCCCCAGUUCAGAUUGUAGUCUGCAACUCGACUACAUGAAGCCGGAAUUGCUAGUAAUGGCGUGUCAGCAACAGCGCCGUGAAUACGUUCCCGGGUCUUGUACACACCGCCCGU
RNAcentral lists this ribosomal RNA (499 nucleotides) under uncultured bacterium. Its description in RNAcentral is "partial 16S ribosomal RNA". It matches the Rfam family "Bacterial small subunit ribosomal RNA", at positions 899 to 1397 of the family's 1533-position model. The record is from RNAcentral.